UAUCCCCUGCGGUGUUCGUCAGGCCCGCGAUUCUUUGAGCCAAUAAGUUAAUUCAGGUCGCGACCCACCGAGCCGCUGUUGUGAACGUCCAAUCCGGAUGAGCCUGAUGCGGCAGGGAAGCGACCAUCUUGGACCGCAGGUUCAAGAUACCGAGUCAACGGCACAGGCGGGGGACUU
Molecule: non-coding RNA, 177 nt
Organism: Gallionellales bacterium GWA2_55_18
Lineage: Bacteria; Pseudomonadati; Pseudomonadota; Betaproteobacteria; Nitrosomonadales
Source: Rfam